GACGAACGCUGGCGGCGUGCUUAACACAUGCAAGUCGAACGCUGAAGCCUGGCUUUUGUUGGGUGGAUGAGUGGCGAACGGGUGAGUAACACGUGAGUAACCUGCCCUCUUUCUUUGGGAUAACGCCCGGAAAACGGGUGCUAAUACUGGAUAUUCACUUGCCUUCGCAUGGGGGUGGGUGGAAAGGGUUUUUUUCUGGUGGGGGAUGGGCUCGCGGCCUAUCAGCUUGUUGGUGGGGUGAUGGCUUACCAAGGCUUUGACGGGUAGCCGGCCUGAGAGGGUGACCGGUCACAUUGGGACUGAGAUACGGCCCAGACUCCUACGGGAGGCAGCAGUGGGGAAUAUUGCACAAUGGGCGCAAGCCUGAUGCAGCGACGCCGCGUGAGGGAUGGAGGCCUUCGGGUUGUGAACCUCUUUCGCUCAUGGUCAAGCCGCAACUUCGUGGUUGUGGUGAGGGUAGUGGGUAAAGAAG
RNAcentral lists this ribosomal RNA (472 nucleotides) under uncultured bacterium. RNAcentral's name for it is "bacterial SSU rRNA". It matches the Rfam family "Bacterial small subunit ribosomal RNA", at positions 28 to 490 of the family's 1533-position model. The record is from RNAcentral.